Long non-coding RNA from Capsicum annuum, 289 nucleotides. RefSeq lists it as uncharacterized. Lineage: Eukaryota; Viridiplantae; Streptophyta; Magnoliopsida; Solanales; Solanaceae. The record is from RefSeq and is a predicted model, not a curated record. The transcript is spliced from 3 exons.
UAUACAUGUGUUAGUUUCUGAAGAUGCUCUCAAAUCAGAACAUAAAAUUCUUCUCUCUUUCAAUUUGAUUGCUGAAAAAAGGCCGUUUCAAUUUACUGAUCUUCUUGAUUGUUGAGAUCCUUCUUCUCCUUAGCUGAUAUAUGUCAUGGUAACAACCCAGUGACAUCCUCUGGCAAAGGAAAGAAUAUAACUAACCACUUCUCUGCAUUUGAAAUUGGUUCAACGUCAACCAUCUUCACUGAACAGCUUGAUGUUCGCUUACCUAGACAAAUAGCUCCGACAAUACAAG